GGUACUCUUGAAGAAUAUGCCAUAGUGAUGCCAUUCAAGUUGCCAUGAAGGAAGCGGUGCGUAGCGGAGAUUGUGCUGGUAGGGGCAGAGGCCCAAGAUCCAGACGAUGGUGCACAAAUUACAGUGAAGUCGGUGGACUUUGGGAGCUACUAGGCGACGGACUGUCCUAGAGCGAUGCUUCAUCUAGGUGUGGCCCAAGAGUGGG
RNAcentral lists this long non-coding RNA (205 nucleotides) under Musa acuminata (dwarf banana). Its description in RNAcentral is "long non-coding RNA (MACU_LNC010205)". Lineage: Eukaryota; Viridiplantae; Streptophyta; Magnoliopsida; Zingiberales; Musaceae. The record is from RNAcentral.